This 468-nucleotide ribosomal RNA is filed under the name uncultured bacterium. Its description in RNAcentral is "partial 16S ribosomal RNA". It matches the Rfam family "Bacterial small subunit ribosomal RNA", at positions 28 to 507 of the family's 1533-position model. The record is from RNAcentral.
GACGAACGCUGGCGGUGUGCUUAACAUAUGCAAGUCGAACGGAAAGGCCCUGCUUUUGUGGGGUGCUCGAGUGGCGAACGGGUGAGUAACACGUGAGUAACCUGCCCUUGACUUUGGGAUAACUUCAGGAAACUGGGGCUAAUACCGGAUAGGAGCUCCUGCUGCAUGGUGGGGGUUGGAAAGUUUCGGCGGUUGGGGAUGGACUCGCGGCUUAUCAGCUUGUUGGUGGGGUAGUGGCUUACCAAGGCUUUGACGGGUGGCCGGCCUGAGAGGGUGACCGGCCACAUUGGGACUGAGAUACGGCCCAGACUCCUACGGGAGGCAGCAGUGGGGAAUAUUGCACAAUGGGCGGAAGCCUGAUGCAGCAACGCCGCGUGCGGGAUGACGGCCUUCGGGUUGUAAACCGCUUUCGCCUGUGACGAAGCGUGAGUGACGGUAAUGGGUAAAGAAGCACCGGCUAACUACGUG